GCCUGGGUGGCUCAGUCGGUUAAGCGUCCGACUUCGGCUCGGGUCAUGAUCUCGCAGUUUGUGAGUUCGAGCCCCGCACUGGGCU
This 85-nucleotide transfer RNA is filed under the name Felis catus (domestic cat). It matches the Rfam family "tRNA". Rfam says of the family: Transfer RNA (tRNA) molecules are approximately 80 nucleotides in length. Their secondary structure includes four short double-helical elements and three loops (D, anti-codon, and T loops). The record is from Rfam by way of RNAcentral. Lineage: Eukaryota; Metazoa; Chordata; Mammalia; Carnivora; Felidae.